Sander lucioperca (pikeperch) is the source of this 323-nucleotide long non-coding RNA. RefSeq lists it as uncharacterized. NCBI's taxonomy places the organism in Eukaryota, Metazoa, Chordata, Actinopteri, Perciformes, Percidae. The record is from RefSeq and is a predicted model, not a curated record. The transcript is spliced from 4 exons.
GCUACCUCAGCCUGACAGACCAAACACACUGCCAAGGGAAAAAAACAGGAUGCACCACUGCGGAUGACGUCAUGCCGUCGACUGCUAGGUGGUGAUGGAGCGAUGGCCUGUGAAGAGUAGAAGUAAUUUUGGAAACAGCCAACGAGGGACCAUGUGAAAGCGUAAAGAAGCACACGCCUGUGCCCUGAGAAACGCUGGCUUAAUGGAACUACAGCAUGUUCUCUGCUCGCCAUCGACUGUCUGGCACCCUGGAAGUGUGCCAGCAAAUUUAACAUUGCAGCCAAACAGUGGAAUUGCAACUCCUGGCCCUUAAAGUGAUACAC